GACAGAGGGUGCAAACGUUGUUCGGAUUUACUGGGCGUAAAGCGCGUGUAGGCGGCCUUGCAAGUCGGAUGUGAAAGCCCACGGCUCAACCGUGGAAGUGCAUCCGAAACUGCAUAGCUUGAGUCUCGGAGAGGAAGGUGGAAUGCUUGGUGUAGAGGUGAAAUUCGUAGAUAUCAAGCGGAACACCGGUGGCGAAGGCGGCCUUCUGGACAGUGACUGACGCUGAGACGCGAAAGCGUGGGGAGCAAACAGG
RNAcentral lists this ribosomal RNA (253 nucleotides) under uncultured bacterium. RNAcentral describes it as "partial 16S ribosomal RNA". It matches the Rfam family "Bacterial small subunit ribosomal RNA", at positions 524 to 776 of the family's 1533-position model. The record is from RNAcentral.